This is a small nuclear RNA of Sorex araneus (European shrew), 104 nucleotides long. The record is from Ensembl. Lineage: Eukaryota; Metazoa; Chordata; Mammalia; Eulipotyphla; Soricidae.
GUGCUUGCUUCAGCAGCACAUAUGCCAAAACUGGAAUGAUAGAAAGAAUAGCAUGGCCCCUGAACAAGGAUGACAUGCAAAUUCAUGAAGAAUUUCAUAUUUUA